RNAcentral lists this ribosomal RNA (230 nucleotides) under uncultured bacterium. Its description in RNAcentral is "partial 16S ribosomal RNA". It matches the Rfam family "Bacterial small subunit ribosomal RNA", at positions 524 to 752 of the family's 1533-position model. The record is from RNAcentral.
UACGUAGGGUGCGAGCGUUGUCCGGAAUUAUUGGGCGUAAAGAGCUCGUAGGCGGUUUGUCGCGUCGGAUGUGAAAGCCCGGGGCUUAACUCCGGGUCUGCAUUCGAUACGGGCAGGCUAGAGUUCGGUAGGGGAGAUCGGAAUUCCUGGUGUAGCGGUGAAAUGCGCAGAUAUCAGGAGGACGAGCCGGUGGCGAAGGCGGAUCUCUGGGCCGAUACUGACGCUGAGGA